CGACAUCUUGGGAUAGAGGGAUUAUGUAUGUUGAAAUAAGUAAAUUGAAUCACAGGUUCGUACAUAAACAUCUUGGCAAAACAUUUUCGUAUAAAGGUUUCUUUUCUGAUACAUAUCACUCCCUCUGUUCCAAAUUACUAUUCGUUUUAACUUUUCUAAAUACAUAAUCUUUGCUAUGGAUCUAGAAAAUGAAUAUAGUAAUUUGGAAUGGAGGGAGUAAUAUAAUAUAAUAUAAGCGUAAAUGUUCAGAGUACCGACCACUGUUGGCAUUGUUGAAUCGUCGUGGGUUAAUUAGGUGAUGCGGAGGAAAAUUGGUGGCCGCUCUUGCAAUUAAACGCCCGGGGUACCACUCGUCCCCCACAGCAGCUGCAUGCACGUCCGAUCAAAAAACUUGAUGGGUUCUUGCAGGCCGGUUGGGAAGCCCACUAUCUCUAAUAAUGCUAUUUUUGGUUUUUUUUUUGAAUAACAGCACUAUGUUUCUUUCAUGCGUGUCAGCCCAUUUUGCCAUGUUGCGCAAUAGGUGUGCUUUACAUGAAGGUAGCUAGUAUCACUUCUAGCCUUUGGACAACCGAAGUGUGGCAACUUAGAUAUAAUGUAUAAGUUCGUUUUCAAUUAUGUAAAGGUUCAGAAAAAACGUUGGAUAUUUACAAAUAUUUUUCUAAAAAACAUCUAAUAUUAGCUUUUGCAAUUAUCAUCCCUACUAGAGAAGUGACUUUCGAUCCCC
This 724-nucleotide long non-coding RNA is filed under the name Setaria viridis. RNAcentral describes it as "long non-coding RNA (SVIR_LNC005733)". The record is from RNAcentral. Lineage: Eukaryota; Viridiplantae; Streptophyta; Magnoliopsida; Poales; Poaceae.